Molecule: long non-coding RNA, 1238 nt
Organism: Labrus mixtus (cuckoo wrasse)
Lineage: Eukaryota; Metazoa; Chordata; Actinopteri; Labriformes; Labridae
Exons: 2
Source: RefSeq, a predicted model, not a curated record
UGGUGCAAAGCAAUAACAACCACAUUCUCUUCUUUUUCUUUUCUUUGCAUGAUGCAAGAUAAAUGGAAGGCCCCCGAAGAAACCUGAAAAACCGGGCGGGCGGGCACCCGUGCAUCUCCAUGACCAAGAUGUGAACUUCUCCUUGCAGGCCCAUAAUAAUGGCUGCUGUCGGUGCUGUCUGCACGGCGGCCCAGCGCGGUGAUGUAUGGGGGUCAUUGGGCCGGAAUGAGCGGCCCGGUAAGCAGCCAGGUCCGGUACUCAGGGGUGAAGAAACCCGGGAGGGCACAGCCAGAGGCUGCUACUAAAGCACCAUCAUUCACGCAGUGACAGAUAUGAAGCUGUAACCAGGAUAGGAUUGUAUGCCUCGCCAUGACCGCGCAAUGGAAACUAAUCCCUCGUUGCCUUUCGCCACCGCACCUGAACUCUUUACUGACCCGGGCAGAGGCAUCGUAGGGUGUGGAGUGGGGAAUUAUUUCGAUUUCAAAAACAAGAAGAAGAUGGAAACCAAAAGCCACCAGCUGGUAGCCUACAUCUUUCACCUUUUGUUGCACUUUUUCCGGACUUGCCAAUUGCUUAAAGAAAAAAAGUUAUAGUUGAUUAUGUUUUGGAUCUGAGCUUUUUAAGAAUGAAAAAAAAAAGGUUCAGGUUUGUUUCCACGAAUCAGGUCUCCUUAUCACUGUCAGCAAAGAGGAGUUAGAGGCGCAGACCUCUGGAUGUUGGCCAGGCAAAGGUCCAUAUCUUCCCACAUUGUUGACACUGAGCUCUUAAACAGGCAGGCAAGGGUUAGAGAUACUCUCAGACGAAGAUAAAACUCUUUCUGCGAGGUUUACAGCGGCCAACAUCAAGGCUAAGCGAAAGUCAACGCUUUGGUAGAAUUGGAGACAUCCCCAAGGAGGAGCAGGGCGGCGUAACUGUGCGUGAAGUUGGUUAUAAUAAAGAAAUGAAAUGUCUCUGCUACUGGCUCUUUUUCUUGGCUGAAAUGUUAUCUCGUAUUAUAAAAUGCUUAUGCAUUAAAUACCAGUUACAUUGUGAAGGUAAGUUAAAAUGUAACCCAACGUGAUCAUUAAAAAGUUAUAAUAAUGACUAUUAACAUGUUCGCGUUGUCCCGGGACUUUGUUAUUGAUUAACCUUUGCCUGAAUCGACUUCUGUGUUCAGACUGGCUGAAAGGCUCUUUAACAGGCAACAGGAGAAACUUUUGUUUUGUAUCUGGGCUAAAUUAAACUUCCUCUUAAUUCUA